RNAcentral lists this non-coding RNA (76 nucleotides) under Shewanella sp. SACH. Lineage: Bacteria; Pseudomonadati; Pseudomonadota; Gammaproteobacteria; Alteromonadales; Shewanellaceae. The record is from RNAcentral.
AAGCGAAACAAGCAAGGCGCUGUAUGCCUUGCUUGUCUGUUCGGCGUGGUUGCCGAGCACUGAUGAGCAGCCAAAG